AGUGAACGCUGGCGGUAGGCCUAACACAUGCAAGUCGAACGGCAGCACAGUAAGAGCUUGCUCUUACGGGUGGCGAGUGGCGGACGGGUGAGGAAUACAUCGGACUCUACUUUUUCGUGGGGGAUAACGUAGGGAAACUUACGCUAAUACCGCAUACGACCUACGGGUGAAAGCAGGGGAUCUUCGCACCUUGCGCGAUUGAAUGAGCCGAGGUCGGAUUAGCUAGUUGGCGGGGUAAAGGCCCACCAAGGCGACGAUCCGUAGCUGGUCUGAGAGGAUGAUCAGCCACACGGGAACUGAGACACGGUCCAGACUCCUACGAGAGGCAGCAGUGGGGAAUAUUGGGCAAUGGGCGCAAGCCUGAUCCAGCCAUACCGCGUGGGUGAAGAAGGCCUUCGGGUUGUAAAGCCCUUUUGUUGGGAAAGAAAAGCAGCAGGUUAAGACCCCGCUGUUCUGACGGUACCCAAAGAAUAAGCACCGGCUAACUUCGUG
Molecule: ribosomal RNA, 492 nt
Filed under: uncultured bacterium
Lineage: Bacteria
Description: partial 16S ribosomal RNA
Rfam family: Bacterial small subunit ribosomal RNA
Source: RNAcentral